ACCGGCGAUUUCCGAAUGGGGAAACCCAGUGUGUUUCGACACACUAUCAUUAACUGAAUCCAUAGGUUAAUGAGGCGAACCGGGGGAACUGAAACAUCUAAGUACCCCGAGGAAAAGAAAUCAACCGAGAUUCCCCCAGUAGCGGCGAGCGAACGGGGAGGAGCCCAGAGCCUGAAUCAGUGUGUGUGUUAGUGGAAGCGUCUGGAAAGGCGCGCGAUACAGGGUGACAGCCCCGUACACAAAAAUGCACAUGCUGUGAGCUCGAUGAGUAGGGCGGGACACGUGGUAUCCUGUCUGAAUAUGGGGGGACCAUCCUCCAAGGCUAAAUACUCCUGACUGACCGAUAGUGAACCAGUACCGUGAGGGAAAGGCGAAAAGAACCCCGGCGAGGGGAGUGAAAAAGAACCUGAAACCGUGUACGUACAAGCAGUGGGAGCACAGAGCAAUCUGUGUGACUGCGUACCUUUUGUAUAAUGGGUCAGCGACUUAUAUUCUGUAGCAAGGUUAACCGAAUAGGGGAGCCGAAGGGAAACCGAGUCUUAACUGGGCGUUAAGUUGCAGGGUAUAGACCCGAAACCCGGUGAUCUAGCCAUGGGCAGGUUGAAGGUUGGGUAACACUAACUGGAGGACCGAACCGACUAAUGUUGAAAAAUUAGCGGAUGACUUGUGGCUGGGGGUGAAAGGCCAAUCAAACCGGGAGAUAGCUGGUUCUCCCCGAAAGCUAUUUAGGUAGCGCCUCGUGAAUUCAUCUCCGGGGGUAGAGCACUGUUUCGGCAAGGGGGUCAUCCCGACUUACCAACCCGAUGCAAACUGCGAAUACCGGAGAAUGUUAUCACGGGAGACACACGGCGGGUGCUAACGUCCGUCGUGAAGAGGGAAACAACCCAGACCGCCAGCUAAGGUCCCAAAGUCAUGGUUAAGUGGGAAACGAUGUGGGAAGGCCCAGACAGCCAGGAUGUUGGCUUAGAAGCAGCCAUCAUUUAAAGAAAGCGUAAUAGCUCACUGGUCGAGUCGGCCUGCGCGGAAGAUGUAACGGGGCUAAACCAUGCACCGAAGCUGCGGCAGCGACACUGUGUGUUGUUGGGUAGGGGAGCGU
Molecule: ribosomal RNA, 1096 nt
Filed under: Escherichia coli
Lineage: Bacteria; Pseudomonadati; Pseudomonadota; Gammaproteobacteria; Enterobacterales; Enterobacteriaceae
Description: partial 23S ribosomal RNA
Rfam family: Bacterial large subunit ribosomal RNA
Source: RNAcentral